CCCUUAGAUGUUCUGGGCCGCACGCGCGCUACACUGAUGCAUUCAACGAGCCUAUCCUUGACCGACAGGUCCGGGUAAUCUUUGAAUCUGCAUCGUGACGGGGAUAGAUUAUUGCAAUUAUUAAUCUUCAACGAGGAAUGCCUAGUAGGCGCAAGUCAUCAGCUUGCGUCGAUUACGUCCCUGCCCUUUGUACACACCGCCCGUCGCUACUACCGAUUGGGAAAAUUUUAGAGAGUCCUGGACUGAUGAUUGUUCGGCUUCACGGCCUUACUUUCGUCGGGAAAGAAUUCGAUAAUAUUUUUCUAGAGGAAGUAAAAGUCGUAACA
Molecule: ribosomal RNA, 326 nt
Filed under: uncultured eukaryote
Lineage: Eukaryota
Description: partial 18S ribosomal RNA
Rfam family: Eukaryotic small subunit ribosomal RNA
Source: RNAcentral